AGAGCAAAGCGCAUGGCUUGCUCAAUUACCCUUUUUAACAAAGGCAAAGAAAGCUCCCAUGGAAUUGACUGAGGAGGAGGAGGAGCCUACUUUGAGGGUGUCUGAGAAGAAAGGAACUAUUGCUGGCGCAGUUGCUCUUAUUAUUGGUACCAGUAUCGGUUCUGGGAUACUAGCUCUCCCUGAGAAAGCUUCUCCUGCCGUAACUCUCUCUCUCUCUGUUUCUUGUUGAAUGGGAUUGUGGAAAUUAACAGUGAGGUGCCACAUUAAAUAGAUGAAACGACUUGUCGUCUAAU
Molecule: unclassified non-coding RNA, 293 nt
Filed under: Hevea brasiliensis (rubber tree)
Lineage: Eukaryota; Viridiplantae; Streptophyta; Magnoliopsida; Malpighiales; Euphorbiaceae
Source: RNAcentral